AAUGCCUACCUAACUCUGGUUACAAGACUACACUGUAUUUUUAUGGGGCUUUUCCUUUCUCGUUCCCUACAACUUCUGUCCCAAUUAAUGUUUGUUUUUUAAAGACUGUCUUACUUCAGAAUGUCACGCUGAGAUUGAAUCAGACAAACUUGAGAGUGCUCCAUUUUAAUAAUACUUACUCACUAUCCAGGAACAUAGUACACCCAUCUAUCCAGAACUUUUAUGGACUUUAGUCAAGUUUUAGUUCAUAACUAGCAUUUGAUCUGUACUCUCUAAAAUUAUUUCUCUUUCUUUGGACUAAUUUGCCUCUUCCUAUAGUGACUUGAAAGUAUUCAUACCUAAAAAUUUAGUUACCUCAAAGCCUUAAAUAUUCUUGAUCCUAAGUUUAUUACUUUCCUCCCUAAGGACACCCAGAACUCCUGGGGUUUUUUGUAAAUAAUCUGGGAUUUAAAAAAAUUACACAAAAUUCAGUUCUUAUGGGGUAUUAAAGUUCUGGGGCUUCUGACAAAUGCAUACUCGGGUGACACCAAGAUCCAGACCUAGUCCCUUCCUCACCUAAAAUUUCCUCAGCAGCUUCUGGAUACCCAAGUCCUCCCCUCCCCCAAUGUGUUCUCCAUCCCUCUGGUUUUGCCCAAUCUCAGAUUUGUACUCAUUUUUAUCAGUAAGUAUAAGAAGACUUUUCUAUCUUAUUAAAUGUAGUUUCAUUGUUUUUUAGCUUAGCAUUACAUACAACCAAAGUAACGUCAAACCUCUGUCAUCUCUAUGAACUCAUUCCUGGCCGUUCUAAUCAAAACAGAAACAUACAGCAGUUCUAAAACGCUGCACAACUAUUGGGUCUGAAUUACUAUUUCUUGUUUUAAUUUACAAAUUAAGUAUCCUACCCUGUAGAGUUGGGAGUAGAGUCCACCAUUUUCAAAAGGACUGGCUCUCCUCCCUUUCUACGAAUAUGAAAUGAUUUUCUUUGUGUGCCCAGGCCUCUUGACUGUCUCUUUGAUUCUAUUACCCCUAAACAAUAAUUUCUUCCUGCCCAAGUGCUUACAGAGUCUUCUAUUAGAACUGCAUGAUGCUUAUGCCAAAAAUACUACAAAGUACGCUAUAUCUGACACUCAGCAGCAGGAAUUACCUGCACAAAAAUUUAAACUAGUUCAGUCAUUAAAAAUUCCAUCCAUUAAAGAUAAAAUCUAAUACUGAGAAAUGUGAUUGAUGUGAUUUUUUUAUCCCUUGUCUCGAUUUUACAAUGGAAACGAGGGGAUGCUUUACCUAGAGUGGCAGAGCAACUGGAAGAUCUUCCCUGAGGAAAAACUGGCGGACUGUUUAAUGAACUGCUUUGUGACAGAACUGGCAAGGAAGGGAAUUCAGCACGGCAAGGUUUGCUCAAUGGAAGAGCCACACCUGGAGGUUGACGGGUCAGGUAUGAAAUCUGGUCACAGAGAAGAACCACAGCUCAAGAAAGAAGAGAGGCUCGCCUACAGCAGAAGUCCUGGAGCAAGGCCUGGAGCCCCCUCGAGCACCCUUAUCGCCUCCUGCUUCACUGGGGCUGAGGGGGAAAUGUCCACAUCGCUGUCAAGAACAUGAACAGGCCACUCCUUGUGCAGUGGGCUGUGUAAGAGGCGAGUCUUUUGCCAGGGACGGGAUCUGCGCCCACCCUAUACCAGCGCCGCCUCUCAUGUGCUCUGGGUGAAAGCAAAGACUGGGAGGUCAGGGCACCUCACCUUAAACCCUGACCCUGCCACUCACUCACUCCACACUCACUUUUCUGUGUCCAUCCUCAUCUGUAAAAUGGGAUGGGCGGCGGUAAGGCAUCUGCAACAGUACCGGGCACACAGAGUGCUAAACAAGUGUUUAUAAAAUUAAAUCAACCCUCAAAAUUGCCCCUAAAUGACACUCUGCUAUCAAGCACCUUGGUGUUUGUUCUUAAAACAUCUGUGUUUUCUAGUUGAUUAAAAUCAAACAAGAUGAUUGUGACUA
Long non-coding RNA from Suricata suricatta (meerkat), 1968 nucleotides. RefSeq lists it as uncharacterized. The transcript is spliced from 2 exons. The record is from RefSeq and is a predicted model, not a curated record. NCBI's taxonomy places the organism in Eukaryota, Metazoa, Chordata, Mammalia, Carnivora, Herpestidae.